AUAGGUUCGGAGUGUCUUUGGGAUUGAUUUGCUCCCGCUGCGCAGGUACCGGUCCAUGGCGUCGGCGUCGGCUUCGGCGUCGAUGUCGGGUGCGUCCGCCAUGUCGGCGUCAGGAGGGGCGAUGUCCGUGAUGCUGCUGGGCGCACUGGCGAUGGCGCCGCCGCCGCCGCCGCCCGGGGCGGCGCCCAUGCUGGCUGGCAGCCGCGGGUGGCCGGAGGACCAGGCGUUGUAAAGUGAGUGGCGGUCCGAUCUUCUGUAAGCACCAGGUAAGCUCGUUAAACCGGGAUAUUUCCUACACAUGGAAGGCUCUUUAAAGGUGUGUUUCCUUAAUGCACCAAAACCCAAACACUUUAAGGUGGUGGGACUCCUGCGACGUAUACGAUUCGUUCUUUACUUAGUAGUUCAAUAAACGCCAGCUCUCUAAUGUUAUCAAAAACGGCUCCUCUUAUCUUUUUGGGGUGUUCUUUACGCGAAGUCUUGUUCUAGUUCACCAUCCGUAUACCUACCUUUGAUGUCUUCUUCCGUCAGCGACAGUUCUAGGGGUUCCAGAGCAAUGGGGAGAAUAAGUGGACUUGGAAGAGGUCAAUCUGCCGUGAGGUCCCUGUCUCUAUUAAUAAGAGGAUCCCCAAGUAUGAGAGGUGUAUGAGCCCUGUUCUCCGUCAUGUAUAGUCUACCAGCUAGCGGAUCGGAUCUACCUGUACUUGCAUCCUAUAGUGGUAGGUCAUUACCUGUACCAGGUGGUCAACUGUCCUUCUCGGGUUGGACUAGAGCGACCGAGGAUUUCCGACUCUACUUAAAGUCAAGAUGUUAGGUACUAACCCACCACUCUCGUCUCUUGUUACGGAAGAAAGGAUGAUACAAAAGAUCUUAUCCAGCCACCAAAAACAUCACUUGUCUGAAAACACAAGUUUUCGUUCAACAACUCACAACUGUGCAAAAUAGUCAUGACAAACACUAUAUAACACCCUAGGCAAUUUCAGACUAGUUAACCAUGAAACACACAAAAUCCGAUAUAAAAACAAGACGAACACGAACGUUCUCGUAGUAUAAGAGAUCCGACCUCAAUUGGUGUAAACAAAGAAAGUUCAGAUUCCCGGAAAAACUAACCUUCCUAAAGGCAACUUAGAAC
This 1129-nucleotide ribosomal RNA is filed under the name Triticum aestivum (bread wheat). Its description in RNAcentral is "partial small subunit ribosomal RNA". The record is from RNAcentral. Lineage: Eukaryota; Viridiplantae; Streptophyta; Magnoliopsida; Poales; Poaceae.